This 276-nucleotide long non-coding RNA is filed under the name Ananas comosus (pineapple). Its description in RNAcentral is "long non-coding RNA (ACOM_LNC044160)". Lineage: Eukaryota; Viridiplantae; Streptophyta; Magnoliopsida; Poales; Bromeliaceae. The record is from RNAcentral.
CGACAGCCCCUUUUCUUUUAUUUUUUUUUUCUCUUCUUCUUCCUCCUCCCAGUCCGGCCGCCCAUUUCUUGCGCCCAGUCCGCAUUAGAUCCGCCCAAAAACUCCACCAGAACUCGGAUUUUCUCUCCUUUUCUUCACAAUCUGUGGUAUUUUCUUCUCUAUUUUUUUUUCUUCUUCUUCUUCUCGCAACCUAUUAACCCUAACCUUGCUUCUAUUUAUUUUUUUAUUAUUUUUACAAAUUGCUUGUACUUUUUCAACCAAAUCUCAUCCUCUACC